CUACGGGGUGCAGCAGUGGGGAAUCUUGCGCAAUGGGCGAAAGCCUGACGCAGCCAUGCCGCGUGAGUGAUGAAGGUCUUAGGAUUGUAAAGCUCUUUCGCCCGUGACGAUGAUGACGGUAACGGGAGAAGAAGCCCCGGCUAACUUCGUGCCAGCAGCCGCGGUAAUACGAAGGGGGCUAGCGUUGUUCGGAAUUACUGGGCGUAAAGCGCGCGUAGGCGGCUUUGCAAGCCAGGGGUGAAAUGCCUGAGCUCAACUUGGGAAUUGCCUUUGGGACUGUGAGGCUUCGAGGACUGGAGAGGUGAGUGGAAUUCCCAGUGUAGAGGUGAAAUUCGUAGAUAUUGGGAAGAACACCGGUGGCGAAGGCGGCUCACUGGCCAGUUUCUGACGCUGCAGCGCGAAAGCGUGGGGAUCAAACAGGAUUAGAUACCCUCGUAGUC
RNAcentral lists this ribosomal RNA (440 nucleotides) under uncultured bacterium. Its description in RNAcentral is "partial 16S ribosomal RNA". It matches the Rfam family "Bacterial small subunit ribosomal RNA", at positions 339 to 795 of the family's 1533-position model. The record is from RNAcentral.